Molecule: ribosomal RNA, 397 nt
Filed under: uncultured bacterium
Lineage: Bacteria
Description: partial 16S ribosomal RNA
Rfam family: Bacterial small subunit ribosomal RNA
Source: RNAcentral
AAAUGUAGGGGGCGAGCGUUGUCCGGAAUGAUUGGGCGUAAAGGGCGCGUAGGCGGCCGCUUAAGUCUGGAGUGAAAGUCUUGUUUUCAAGAUGGGUAUUUCUUUGGAUACUGGGGGGCUUGAGUGCGGGAGAGGUUAUCGGAAUUCCCGAUGUAGCGGCUAAAGGCGUAGAGAUCGGGAGGAACACCAGUGGCGAAGGCGGGUAACUGGACUGCAACUGACGCUGAGGCGCGAAAGUGUGGGGAGCAAACAGGAUUAGAUACCCUGGUAGUCCACACUGUAAACGAUGAAUGCUAGGUGUAAGAGGUAUCGACCCCUUUUGUGCCGGAGUCAACACAAUAAGCAUUCCGCCUGGGGAGUACGGCCGCAAGGUUGAAACUCAAAGGAAUUGACGGGG